This 254-nucleotide ribosomal RNA is filed under the name uncultured bacterium. RNAcentral's name for it is "partial 16S ribosomal RNA". It matches the Rfam family "Bacterial small subunit ribosomal RNA", at positions 524 to 776 of the family's 1533-position model. The record is from RNAcentral.
UACGUAGGGGGCAAGCGUUGUCCGGAUUUAUUGGGCGUAAAGAGCGUGUAGGCGGCCUGGAAGGUCAGCUGUGCAAACUCGAGGCUCAACCUCGAGACGUCGGUUGAAACCACCUGGCUAGAGUCCGGAAGAGGAGAGUGGAAUUCCCGGUGUAGCGGUGAAAUGCGCAGAUAUCGGGAAGAACACCCCGUGGCGAAGGCGGCUCUCUGGGACGUGACUGACGCUGAGACGCGAAAGCGUGGGGAGCAAACAGG